GGGGGGGGCAAGCGUUGUUCGGAAUUACUGGGCGUAAAGGGCGCGUAGGCGGUUGGAUAAGUCAGCUGUGAAAACCACGGGCUUAACUCGUGGCCUGCAGUUGAGACUGUCUGGCUUGAGUGUGGGAGAGGAGAGUGGAAUUCCUGGUGUAGCGGUGAAAUGCGUAGAUAUCAGGAGGAACACCGGUGGCGAAGGCGGCUCUCUGGNCNCNAACUGACACUGAGNCGCGAAAGCNNGGGNAGCNAACNGGAUUAGANACCCNGGUAGUCCNNGCNGUAAACGAUGCACACUAGACGUUCGUCAUCCGCGAGGGUGGUGAGUGUUGCACCUAACGCGAUAAAUGUGCCGCCUGGGGAGUACGGUCGCAAGGCUA
RNAcentral lists this ribosomal RNA (373 nucleotides) under uncultured bacterium. RNAcentral's name for it is "partial 16S ribosomal RNA". It matches the Rfam family "Bacterial small subunit ribosomal RNA", at positions 527 to 896 of the family's 1533-position model. The record is from RNAcentral.